UCCUACGGGAGGCAGCAGUGGGGAAUAUUGGACAAUGGGGGGAACCCUGAUCCAGCCAUGCCGCGUGUGUGAAGAAGGCCUUAUGGUUGUAAAGCACUUUAAGCGAGGAGGAGGCGCUCUAGGCUAAUACCCUAGAAGCGUGGACGUUACUCGCAGAAUAAGCACCGGCUAACUCUGUGCCAGCAGCCGCGGUAAUACAGAGGGUGCGAGCGUUAAUCGGAUUUACUGGGCGUAAAGCGUGCGUAGGCGGUCAUUUAAGUCAAAUGUGAAAUCCCCGAGCUUAACUGGGGAAUUGCAUUCGAUACUGGAUGGCUAGAGUAUGGGAGAGGAUGGUAGAAUUCCAGGUGUAGCGGUGAAAUGCGUAGAGAUCUGGAGGAAUACCGAUGGCGAAGGCAGCCAUCUGGCCUAAUACUGACGCUGAGGUACGAAAGCAUGGGGAGCAAACAGGAUUAGAUACCCUGGUAGUCCAUGCCGUAAACGAUGUCUACUAGCCGUUGGGGCCUUUGAGGCUUUAGUGGCGCAGCUAACGCGAUAAGUAGACCGCCUGGGGAGUACGGUCGCAAGACUAAAACUCAAAUGAAUUGACGG
This 588-nucleotide ribosomal RNA is filed under the name uncultured bacterium. RNAcentral describes it as "bacterial SSU rRNA". It matches the Rfam family "Bacterial small subunit ribosomal RNA", at positions 337 to 916 of the family's 1533-position model. The record is from RNAcentral.